Molecule: long non-coding RNA, 945 nt
Organism: Cyprinus carpio carpio
Lineage: Eukaryota; Metazoa; Chordata; Actinopteri; Cypriniformes; Cyprinidae
Source: Ensembl
GUGUUGGGUAGUCCUGGAACAUUAUCUAAACACAGAAUAUCUGUUCCCACUAUAGAAGCCUUGUUUUCCAGUUCAGGCACUGGUGUACAUCCUGAGAGAUUCCUGCUGGUGGUGCCACUGGUGUGGGUACUAGGUUACUCUGAUUUCGACAAAGAAUACCCUUAGGUGAAUCCACAAGGUAAGAUCUGGGAGUCCCUGCUGACAUAAUCACAGUCCCUUUCUCUAGUGUCACUGAUCCACACAGACUCUCCUAGGUGUAACUGUGGUAAAUCAUGUGCUUUGUGUCUUUUAUUAAAUUGUUUCCCUUGUUUCUCUCUCCUAACCUUUUCUUCUUCUUUCAGACGAUUCAAGUCCAUCCAGCCUGGGUUCAACACUGAUGGUAUGACCGGGACUGUAGUUCGCAGCUUUCUGCCCAUCAGCAGUUCUGCAGGACUAUAUCCAUUGGAUAAUGGUGUUGCCCGAUACUCCAUAAGAGCAAGAAUAGCAGUUGAUGACUGCUGUGCAGUGGAAAUGUAAGUUAAGAGCAUGCUUUAGAUUGUGUUUGUUUCAAGUGCCAUGUUGUUGAAAAUACUGCCAUUACUUACAUUUGUUUUUACAUUGCAUAGAGGAUCUACUUAGAUAAUUCAAGAUGAAUGUAGAAAAUGAGACUUGAAUGCAUUUAUUUCAUAUCCUUCCACAGACCUGAUAAUUUGCUUGAUAAGACCUAAAUAUAUCGUCAGGAGCAACAGGUAUUAGUUUUGUAUUCCUUGAUAUGUAACCCCCCACACACACACACCUUCCAAAACUGGGCAGCCUCUGACUUGCAUUUUAUUAAUCACCAAGGGCCACAGUUUCAGCUAAAAAUCCUCUUUGCUCUUCUGCUGAAGAACAACAGUCACUGACAUCUUAGAUGGCCUGAGGGUAAGUAAAUUUACAGCAAACUUUUUAUUUUUUGUGUGAACUAUU